This 1316-nucleotide long non-coding RNA is filed under the name Elaeis guineensis (African oil palm). Its description in RNAcentral is "long non-coding RNA (EGUI_LNC069322)". Lineage: Eukaryota; Viridiplantae; Streptophyta; Magnoliopsida; Arecales; Arecaceae. The record is from RNAcentral.
GAGGUCUUGGUCUUGGAUGCGCUUUCUGCCUUCAAACGAAUAGAAAAGUCUUUCUUCCUCCCCUUUUUUUUGGGCGUUCUUUUUAUUUUGAUGAGAGAGUAUCUCAACGAGACUACGGUAGGGAACUGUCUCGCUGGGCACCUUUGUCUCAUCUCUUUCUUUUUGAUCUUUCUUUUUCACGUUUCUUUCUUCCUCAUUCUAGUCUUAUUUCAAAGCUCAAAUCCAUCUUUGUUUCGUUGAUCUCGUCUCACUCUUUUCUUAUUUUUUACAAGAUCAGCUGAUUCUAAAGGAGAAUCCAAAGAUUCUUUUGACAGGGAAGGGUCUUCUGACUUCUUAUCCUCUCAGUCAUAUGCUGAUGGAUUUCUUUGAAGAGCUGGACCGUGCCCUCGAAGUGAGGAUCUUGACCGUAGGGGAGAAUGAAUAUGCUCGCUUUAUCGAGGAGGGUAUGAUUGGAAUCAUCCAAGAUGAGACGAGUAAGAAGGAUGUAAACUUUUCACGAAAUUCUUCCGAUCUAUCCUGGAGAGUCAGUUUCAGGUGGUCUUCUUUAUUUAUCAAAACUUAUUAUCAUUGAAAGACUCACUACGUCUAAGAUUGACUGCUUCAGCGGCUAAUGAAAUGAGAUGGAAAGCAUCCAGCUUGAAUCUCGUUGGCAUACAUCUUCUCUCUAGUCUAGUCUCUAGGAAUGGGCGGCUAACCCACCCAUGUAAUAUUCCUGAUACAUGGAGAUCUGCCCUGGCUUACGGAAAGGUUUUCCAGACAUUGGUUUGGCCCUCCUCCAACUAAGACCUGGCAAAUAAUUGUAAGGUAGUUUAGGCUUAUCCGUGCCGUGCUGCUCCCUUCUUCUUUCUCUUAGGAGAAGCCCAAAGCUAGCUAUCUUUUCCUUGCUCGCCUUCCCUGAGGAUGACUUCAGAGUGCUUCAACUUGGCCAAGAGUGGAUGUAAUUCAGGUAAAAGAAUGGCACUUGCUCUAUUCUUGUUAGCUUGCUUGUAAAGGGGUCUGUACAGACUGUUGCAAGACUCUUUCGCCAAUCCUAUCCUACCGGUCCGCUGUGGUUCUUGCAGUUAUGGCUGCUUACUUCCCCUUGGUCGGUUGUUUACACAAAUAGAAUAAGGAAGAUGCAUCGAAUGCUGCUAUUGAAUGCGCUGUUGUUGCUGAGUGAAUAAAUGGAACUAACGGAUAUAAAGAUUCCCCAUGCUCUGCUAACUGAAUUGCUAUAUAUUGAUUCAAGUAUAAGUGAAGUGACUCACUCAGACCAAUCAAAUAGGGGGACUAACCUUACCUUACAGGAUAGGCGAUCGAAGACUUAAAGUAAANNN